GCGUCUCGUCCUACCGCGGCUCGUCCGCGGAAGGUGAGGCGCACCAAGAGCGCACACGUUGGUACCCGAAAGAUGGUGAACUAUGCCUGGCCAGGACGAAGCCAGGGGAAACCCUGGUGGAGGUCCGUAGCGAUUCUGACGUGCAAAUCGAUCGUCAGAGCUGGGUAUAGGGGCGAAAGACUAAUCGAACCAUCUAGUAGCUGGUUCCCUCCGAAGUUUCCCUCAGGAUAGCUGGCGCUCAUUGAACCGAGUCCCAUCCGGUAAAGCGAAUGAUUAGAGGCUAUGGGGCCGAAACGGUCUCAACCUAUUCUCAAACUCUAAAUGGGUGGGAACUGCGGCUUGCUUAACGGUGAAGCCGUAGCUUCGGAUCGGAGUGCCCAGUGGGCCACUUUUGGUAAGCAGAACUGGCGCUGUGGGAUGAACCAAACGCCGGGUUAAGGCGCCCGAAUGAACGCUCAUGUGAAACCAUGAAAGGUGUUGGUUGCUUAAGACAGCAGGACGGUGGCCAUGGAAGUCGGA
Molecule: ribosomal RNA, 519 nt
Filed under: Electrogena affinis
Lineage: Eukaryota; Metazoa; Arthropoda; Insecta; Ephemeroptera; Heptageniidae
Description: eukaryotic LSU rRNA
Rfam family: Eukaryotic large subunit ribosomal RNA
Source: RNAcentral